RNAcentral lists this ribosomal RNA (253 nucleotides) under uncultured bacterium. Its description in RNAcentral is "partial 16S ribosomal RNA". It matches the Rfam family "Bacterial small subunit ribosomal RNA", at positions 524 to 776 of the family's 1533-position model. The record is from RNAcentral.
UACAGAGGGUGCAAGCGUUGUUCGGAAUUACUGGGCGUAAAGCGCGUGUAGGCGGUCUGGCAAGUUGGGUGUGAAAUCCCUCGGCUCAACCGAGGAACUGCAUUCAAAACUACCAGACUUGAGUAUCGAAGGGGGUGGCGGAAUUCCCGGUGUAGAGGUGAAAUUCGUAGAUAUCGGGAGGAACACCUGUGGCGAAGGCGGCCACCUGGAAGAUUACUGACGCUGAGACGCGAAAGCUAGGGGAGCAAACGGG